RNAcentral lists this ribosomal RNA (388 nucleotides) under uncultured Thermovirga sp. RNAcentral's name for it is "bacterial SSU rRNA". It matches the Rfam family "Bacterial small subunit ribosomal RNA", at positions 1002 to 1382 of the family's 1533-position model. The record is from RNAcentral. Lineage: Bacteria; Thermotogati; Synergistota; Synergistia; Synergistales; Thermovirgaceae.
GAAGGUAGAAGGACCCGGUCUUCGGACUGGGAGCGUACACAGGUGCUGCAUGGCUGUCGUCAGCUCGUGUCGUGAGAUGUUGGGUUAAGUCCCGCAACGAGCGCAACCCUGCAUUCAGUUGCCAUCGGUAAGGCCGGGCACUCUGGAUGGACUGCCGGCGACAAGCCGGAGGAAGGUGGGGACGACGUCAAGUCAUCAUGGCCCUUAUGUCCAGGGCGACACACGUGCUACAAUGGCCGGCACAACGGGAAGCGAAGGGGCGACCCUGAGCGGAUCCCCAUAAAAGCCGGUCCCAGUUCGGAUUGCAGUCUGCAACUCGACUGCAUGAAGUUGGAAUCGCUAGUAAUCGUGGAUCAGCCAAGCCGCGGUGAAUACGUUCCCGGGCCUU